AUUGAACGCUGGCGGCAUGCCUUACACAUGCAAGUCGAACGGCAGCACGGGAGCAAUCCUGGUGGCGAGUGGCGAACGGGUGAGUAAUGUAUCGGAACGUGCCCAGUCGUGGGGGAUAACGUAGCGAAAGCUACGCUAAUACCGCAUACGAUCUAUGGAUGAAAGCGGGGGAUCGCAAGGCCUCGCGCGAUUGGAGCGGCCGAUAUCAGAUUAGGUAGUUGGUGGGGUAAAGGCUCACCAAGCCGACGAUCUGUAGCUGGUCUGAGAGGACGACCAGCCACACUAGGACUGAGACACGGCCCAGACUCCUACGGGAGGCAGCAGUGGGGAAUUUUGGACAAUGGGCGAAAGCCUGAUCCAGCAAUGCCGCGUGCAGGAUGAAGGCCUUCGGGUUGUAAACUGCUUUUGUACGGAACGAAACGGCGAACUCUAAUACAGUUUGCUAAUGACGGUACCGUAAGAAUAAGCACCGGCUAACUACGUGCCAGCCGCCGCGGUAA
Molecule: ribosomal RNA, 500 nt
Filed under: uncultured bacterium
Lineage: Bacteria
Description: partial 16S ribosomal RNA
Rfam family: Bacterial small subunit ribosomal RNA
Source: RNAcentral